UGGGGAAUCUUCCACAAUGGGCGCAAGCCUGAUGGAGCAACACCGCGUGAGUGAAGAAGGGUUUCGGCUCGUAAAGCUCUGUUGUUAAAGAAGAACACGUAUGAGAGUAACUGUUCAUACGUUGACGGUAUUUAACCAGAAAGUCACGGCUAACUACGUGCCAGCAGCCGCGGUAAUACGUAGGUGGCAAGCGUUAUCCGGAUUUAUUGGGCGUAAAGAGAGUGCAGGCGGUUUUCUAAGUCUGAUGUGAAAGCCUUCGGCUUAACCGGAGAAGUGCAUCGGAAACUGGAUAACUUGAGUGCAGAAGAGGGUAGUGGAACUCCAUGUGUAGCGGUGGAAUGCGUAGAUAUAUGGAAGAACACCAGUGGCGAAGGCGGCUACCUGGUCUGCAACUGACGCUGAGACUCGAAAAGCAUGGGUAGCGAACAGGAUUAGAUACCCUGGUAG
This 447-nucleotide ribosomal RNA is filed under the name uncultured bacterium. RNAcentral's name for it is "bacterial SSU rRNA". It matches the Rfam family "Bacterial small subunit ribosomal RNA", at positions 355 to 793 of the family's 1533-position model. The record is from RNAcentral.